GACGAACGCUGGCGGCGUGCUUAACACAUGCAAGUCGAACGUGAUUUUUAUGGAAAGCCCUUCGGGGACGGAAAUGAAAUGAAAGUGGCGAACGGGUGAGUAACACGUGAGCAACCUACCUUACACAGGGGGAUAGCCGUUGGAAACGACGAUUAAUACCGCAUGAGACCACCAAGACACAUGUUUUGGAGGUAAAAGAUUUAUCGGUGUAAGAUGGGCUCGCGUCUGAUUAGCUAGUUGGAAGGGUAAAGGCCUACCAAGGCGACGAUCAGUAGCCGGUCUGAGAGGAUGAACGGCCACAUUGGAACUGAGACACGGUCCAAACUCCUACGGGAGGCAGCAGUGGGGAAUAUUGCACAAUGGGGGGAACCCUGAUGCAGCGACGCCGCGUGAGCGAAGAAGGUUUUCGAAUCGUAAAGCUCUGUCCUAUG
RNAcentral lists this ribosomal RNA (431 nucleotides) under Parvimonas sp. oral taxon 110. Its description in RNAcentral is "bacterial SSU rRNA". It matches the Rfam family "Bacterial small subunit ribosomal RNA", at positions 28 to 442 of the family's 1533-position model. The record is from RNAcentral. Lineage: Bacteria; Bacillati; Bacillota; Tissierellia; Tissierellales; Peptoniphilaceae.